AAAAAGACGUUCUUACGCCUGUCAGUGGAUGGCUCGGUUCGGGUGCCGACGAAGGGCGUGCCAAGCUGCGAUAAGCUCCGGGUAGACGCAUGGAGUCAUUGAACCGGAGAUCCCCGAAUAGGACAUCCAGAUGCAUAAAGCAUCAUUCCGCCAUCGGAAAGGGAACGCCCCGAAUUGAAACAUCUUAGUAGGGGCAGGAGAAGAAACCAACCGGGAUGUCGUUAGUAGAGGCGAUCGAACACGACAGAGUUCAAACCGAAUCCUUCGGGAGAUGUGGUGUAUGGACCGCGGCAUAAGAUUUGCAUUCAGAACUGAAGUUGCCUGGAACGGUAUACCAGAGAGGGUGACAGUCCCGUAUGUGUAUGCAUGCAGACUUUAGCGGUAUCCUGAGUAGCGUGGGUCGGAAUUCCCGCGUGAAUGUGGGGGUCAUCAACCUCCAAAACUAAAUACUCCCCGAAACCGAUAGCGUAGUAGUAGCGUGAGCGAAAGCUGAAAAGCAACCCUGGAAAGGUGUUGAAAAGUGCCUGAAACUGACAGGUUAUCGCGUGAUACGGCACGAAAGGAUCUUCAAAGCGAAGGAACGAGUUGCGAGACUCAAGUACGGGUUUUGUUGCCGGUGUCGUAUCGUACGUUUUGAAGAACGGGCCAGAGAGUUUAUUCUGUUGGCGACGGUUAAUUUCUAUGAAAGAAGCCAGAGGGAAACCAACAAGUCCGCAGCCGUAAGGUCAGGGACGACGUACUACCAGUGCGUGGAGUCAGCAGGAUAAGACCCGAAGCCCGGCGAUCUAUGCGUGGGCAGGUUGAAGCGUGCCGAAAGGUGCGUGGAGGACCGCAAGCGGUUUUGAUAUGCAAAUCAUUCGCGUGACCUGCGUAUAGGAGUGAAAGAUUAAUCGAGCCGGGCAUCAGCUGGUUCCUCUCGAAACAUGCCGUAGCAUGACCUGAUCUGAGAUCGACAGUGAGGUAGAGCACUGAUUGGGGAAGCUGGGGAAGAAAUUCCUCACUCUCCUGUCAAACUCCAAAUUCCCUGUCAUCAGCGACGAUCGGAAGUCCGCAUUACGGGGUAAGCUUGUAAUGCGUAAGGGAGACAACCCAGACCGUGGUUAAUGUCCCUCAGUGCAGGCUCAGUGUAAACACUGAAAGUAGUCCUGGGUCAAAGACAACUGGGAGGUGAGCUUAGAAGCAGCUACCCUUUAAAAAGUGCGUAACAGCUUACCAGUCAAGAUUCAGGGCGCUGAAAAUGGACGGGGCUUAAGCCUGCCACAGAUACCACGGACCAUACGAAUUGUAUGAUGGCGUAGAGAGGCGUCCUGCAUGGGCGGAAGCAGGGUUGCAAGAUCCUGUGGACCGUGUAGGAAUGAAAAUUCUGGCAGUAGUAGAAGCUUAAGAUUGGUGAGAAUCCAAUCCGCCGCAGGGGCUAGGUUUCCUCGACAAUGUUCGUCAGUCGAGGGUUAGUCGGUCCUAAGACGUACCGUAAUUCGAGUACGCCGAAAGGGAAACAGGUUAAUAUUCCUGUACCUGUAUCAAACAAUCCUGACGCUUUCGGAUAGGCAUUGCGGAGUCAUCGCUCCGUCUAAGCCGGAUAUGAAAUUGGAGUACCGUAAUGGUGAGAAUUUUUCAAAACGGUGAUGGGGUAACAAUGCUGAUUCCAGGAGCCCGUGAAAAGGGUGAUACGGUCCGUACCGAGAACUGACACAGGUGCCCCUCGCUGAGAAGGCGAAGGCGUGUCGGGAGUAAAUGUGUUAAGGGAACUCGGCAAAUUAGCCCUGUAACUUUGGGAUAAGGGGUGCCUGCCCAGCGAUUGGGCAGGUCGCAGUGACAAGAUCGCUCCGACUGUCUAAUAACAACAUAGCAGACUGCAACUCCGAAAGGACUCGUAUAGUCUGUGAUUCCUGCCCAGUGCGAGUAUCUGAACACCGGGUUCAACCGGACGAAGGACUCGUAAACGGCGGGGGUAACUAUGACCCUCUUAAGGUAGCGUAGUACCUUGUCGCUUAAUUGGCGACUUGCAUGAAUGGAAUAACGAGAGCGAUACUGUCCCUAACACAUACCCGUUGAACCUUUUGUACUAGUGCAGAGACUAGUGACUCCUUAUGGGAAGUGAAGACCCCGUGGAGCUUUACUGCAGCCUGUCGUUGGGUUACGGUAUUACCUGCGCAGGGUAGAUGGGAGACGUCGAUCCAACCCUUGUGGGGGUUGGUUAGUCACCGAUGAGACACCAUCCUGGUUUUAUUGUAAUUCUAACUGAUUUAUCAGGACAUCGAUAGGUAGGCAGUUUGGGUGGGGCGCCACACCCUCGAAAAAAUAUCAAGGGUGCCCUAAGGUCAACUCAAGCGGGUCAGAAACCCGCUGAAGAGUGUCAAGAGCAAAAGUUGGCCUGACGCGAUUUCGCAUAGCAAGAAAUCGCGAGAGGAAACUCGGGUCUAACGAACCAAUACGCCCUGUUGAUGAGGGCUAUUGACUACAGAAAAGCUACCCCGGGGAUAACAGAGUCGUCGCCGGCAAGAGCACAUAUCGACCCGGCGGCUUGCUACCUCGAUGUCGGUUCUUUCCAUCCUGGCUGUGCAGCAGCAGCCAAGGGUGAGGUUGUUCGCCUAUUAAAGGGGAUCGUGAGCUGGGUUUAGACCGUCGUGAGACAGGUCGGUUACUAUCUAUAAGGAGUGUUGGAAGUCUGAAGGCAAGAAUGAAAUAGUACGAGAGGAACUUUCAUUCGGCGCCACUGGUCUACCGGUUGUCUGACAAGGCAACGCCGGGCAGCUACGCGCCAAGAGAUAAAAGCUGAAAGCAUCUAAGCUUGAAACUCAGCCUGAACAAGAGACUUCAUGAAAGACACGGGUAAAAGACCCGGUUGAUAGGUUCGGGAUGUACGCACGAAGGCAACGACGUGUUCAGUCCGCGAAUACUAAUCGUCUUAAUAACGUCAAUUC
Ribosomal RNA from Methanospirillum hungatei JF-1, 2924 nucleotides. It matches the Rfam family "Archaeal large subunit ribosomal RNA". The record is from Rfam. NCBI's taxonomy places the organism in Archaea, Methanobacteriati, Methanobacteriota, Methanomicrobia, Methanomicrobiales, Methanospirillaceae.